UACGUAGGGUGCAAGCGUUGUCCGGAUUUAUUGGGCGUAAAGCGUCCGUAGGCGGUUUUGAAAGUCUGAUGUUAAAGGUUGGAGCUCAACUCCAGUAGGGCAUUGGAAACUACUUAACUAGAGUGCAAUAGGGGAAGCUGGAAUUUCCGGUGUAGCGGUGAAAUGCGUAGGUAUCGGAAGGAACACCAGUGGCGAAAGCGGGCUUCUGGAUUGCAACUGACGCUGAUGGACGAAAGCCAGGGGAGCGAAAGGG
Molecule: ribosomal RNA, 253 nt
Filed under: uncultured bacterium
Lineage: Bacteria
Description: partial 16S ribosomal RNA
Rfam family: Bacterial small subunit ribosomal RNA
Source: RNAcentral